Molecule: ribosomal RNA, 468 nt
Filed under: uncultured bacterium
Lineage: Bacteria
Description: partial 16S ribosomal RNA
Rfam family: Bacterial small subunit ribosomal RNA
Source: RNAcentral
GACGAACGCUGGCGGUGUGCUUAACACAUGCAAGUCGAACGGUAAGGCCCUUUCGGGGGUACACGAGUGGCGAACGGGUGAGUAACACGUGAGUAACCUGCCCUCAUCUCUGGGAUAACAGUCGGAAACGGUUGCUAAUACUGGAUAUGAGCUUGCAAGGCAUCUUGUGGGUUGGAAAGAUUUUUUGUGGUUGGGGAUGGACUCGCGGCCUAUCAGCUUGUUGGUGAGGUAGUGGCUCACCAAGGCUUCGACGGGUAGCCGGCCUGAGAGGGCGACCGGCCACAUUGGGACUGAGAUACGGCCCAAACUCCUACGGGAGGCAGCAGUGGGGAAUAUUGCACAAUGGACGGAAGUCUGAUGCAGCAACGCCGCGUGCGGGAUGACGGCCUUCGGGUUGUAAACCGCUUUCAAUUGUGACGAAGCUUUUUUGUGACGGUAGCAGUAGAAGAAGCACCGGCUAACUACGUG